Molecule: ribosomal RNA, 610 nt
Filed under: uncultured bacterium
Lineage: Bacteria
Description: bacterial SSU rRNA
Rfam family: Bacterial small subunit ribosomal RNA
Source: RNAcentral
CCUACGGGAGGCAGCAGUAAGGAAUAUUGGUCAAUGGACGAAAGUCUGAACCAGCCAUGCCGCGUGAAGGAUGAAGGCCCUCUGGGUUGUAAACUUCUUUUAUCUGGGACGAAAAAAGCUCAUUCUUGAGCACUUGACGGUACCAGAGGAAUAAGCACCGGCUAACUCCGUGCCAGCAGCCGCGGUAAUACGGAGGGUGCAAGCGUUAUCCGGAUUCACUGGGUUUAAAGGGUGCGUAGGUGGGUCUGUAAGUCAGUGGUGAAAUCUCCGAGCUUAACUCGGAAACUGCCAUUGAUACUAUAGGUCUUGAAUCAUCUGGAGGUAAGCGGAAUAUGUCAUGUAGCGGUGAAAUGCUUAGAUAUGACAUAGAACACCAAUUGCGAAGGCAGCUUACUACGGGUGUAUUGACACUGAGGCACGAAAAGCGUGGGGAUCAAACAGGAUUAGAUACCCUGGUAGUCCACGCCCUAAACGAUGGAUACUCGACAUCAGCGAUACACUGUUGGUGUCUGAGCGAAAGCAUUAAGUAUCCCACCUGGAAGUACGACCGCAAGUUGAAACUCAAAGGAAUUGACGGNGNGAGAGNGCGAGACGACGACGAGGGGAGAGG